AUCUACAGCCAUGCCACCUUGAACGUACCUGAUCUCAUCUCAUCUCAGAAGCUAAGCAGGGUUGGACCUGGUUAGUACUUGGAUGGGAGUUCAAGAAUUAUAAUAUGUAUAGAUG
This 115-nucleotide ribosomal RNA is filed under the name Propithecus coquereli (Coquerel's sifaka). The record is from RNAcentral. Lineage: Eukaryota; Metazoa; Chordata; Mammalia; Primates; Indriidae.